AUUAAACGCUGGCGGCAUGCCUUACACAUGCAAGUCGAACGGCAGCACGGGGGCAACCCUGGUGGCGAGUGGCGAACGGGUGAGUAAAGCAUCGGAACGUGCCCUGGAGUGGGGGGAUAACGUAGCGAAAGUUACGCUAAUACCGCAUAUUCUGUGAGCAGGAAAGCAGGGGAUCGCAAGACCUUGCGCUCUGGGAGCGGCCGAUGUCGGAUUAGCUAGUUGGUGGGGUAAAGGCCUACCAAGGCGACGAUCCGUAGCGGGUCUGAGAGGAUGAUCCGCCACACUGGGACUGAGACACGGCCCAGACUCCUACGGGAGGCAGCAGUGGGGAAUUUUGGACAAUGGGCGAAAGCCUGAUCCAGCCAUGCCGCGUGAGUGAAGAAGGCCUUCGGUUGUAAGACUCUUCGUCAAGGAAGAAGACUUAUCUCCUAAUACGAGU
Molecule: ribosomal RNA, 439 nt
Filed under: uncultured bacterium
Lineage: Bacteria
Description: bacterial SSU rRNA
Rfam family: Bacterial small subunit ribosomal RNA
Source: RNAcentral